AUUUUAAAAAUAAUUAAUUAAAUAUAAAUUAUAUAUAAAAAAAUAAUAAAAUAAUAAAAAAAAUUAAUCUAUUAAUUAAAUUAAUAAAAUAUUUUUUAAUAGCGUGCCAGCAAAAGCGGUUAAACGAUUAACUUAAAUUAAUUUUUUAAUUUAAACUAAAAAAAUAACAAAAGAAUUAAAAAAAUAAUAAAAUAUAUUUUUAAAUAAUAGUUUUUAAAGUUAAAAAUCAAAAUUUAAUGAAUUGGAUUAGAUACCCAAAUAAAAAAACUUUUUAGUAUUAAACUAAUAUAGUUAAACUAGAAAUAUUUGGCGGUAAAAUAUUUUAAUUAAAGGGUCUUGAUUUUUAAUAGAAAAUACACAAUAAAAAAAACUUUAAUUAUAAAUUUAUAUAUCUCCGUAAAAAAAAUAUUGUUUUUAAAAUAAAAAAAAUUUAUUUUUACAGGUCAAGAUAUAAUUUAAAUUAAAGAAAAAUUUAGACACAAAAAAAAAAUAAAAUAUAUAAGAAUUUAAAAGUAAUUUUUUUUUUUAAAAAAAAAUGAAAUUAUUAUUUUAUGUACAUAUUGCCCAUCACUUUCAUUUUAAAAUGAAAUAAGUUGAAACAUAGUAGAAAUAUAAGAAUAUGUUUCUAA
Molecule: ribosomal RNA, 629 nt
Filed under: Tetranychus phaselus
Lineage: Eukaryota; Metazoa; Arthropoda; Arachnida; Trombidiformes; Tetranychidae
Description: 12S ribosomal RNA
Source: RNAcentral